CACUUUAAUAAAUAAUACAGCAGAGAGAAACAAACACAGUGAAGAUUUGAUCCAGACAGCUAAGGCGAUCGCUUUCCACACAAAGAGUGUGAGACGGUAGGAGGAAGAUAAAAGAUAAGACAUUUUUUAAACAAAAAUGUGUUGUCUCCCAAUAGACCAGACUUUGCCUCCAGCAGGCUACUCUAUUAGCGCCCAGGGAUCAGAGCCCUGCUCCGGGGCACAGACGCUUGCUUCACGUCUGAGAUGGAUUGGAGAUCAGUUCGAAAAAGGCAAGGCAGUUGGGGACCGGGGCUCUAGUAAGAGCGCUCCGAGAAACAGAAAAGUCUUGAUUCAAGGCUUUUACACCGUAUGCACAGCGAUACAGAUCACCGCCUUUCUGCUGCUUGUUAGAAGGCGACACCUGUAGGCGCAAUUUCCUUUGCAACAGCAAAACCAGCAACAGAUGGUGCCUUCAGGACCCUGGUCAAGGAGGGAGAAUGGACAGCUCUAACAAUAUUUGCACUGAGGAAACUUAUGCCAGCCGAUUUUAGAGCGAAGUCACUCGGAAAUCUGACAAGUGUCCACCUUUCACGGGCGUAUUUUUCAUGCCAUCAGAUCCGCAGGACCGGUCAAUAUUAUUGGAGGCACUGACCCGUCAGAUUGACUCUAAUCUACACCUGUCAAACUUGAGUUGCCUUCAGAUGACUGUUUAAUAUCAUUGUCAUCGUAAUAAUCAGCUACUGGUGUGCGUUCUACAUCUCAUUUACAAUAGACACAGUUAUAACGGUAGCCUGCAAAAAAACGUUGAGUCGAUAAGUCGAUAAGUGAUUUCAUUGAUACAUACCAUAUGUGCUACACCAACAAAAACAUUUUAUACCGCAACUGUGUUUCAAAAUAGCUGCAUGUUGUUUGGCUUAUCGCACAAAGCUCAAUAAGUCCAUAACGAGAUCACUUGAAGCUACCUGUAUCAUACUGGCAACAACAAGAAUAGUAAGUUGAUGUCACCGUCCCUUGACGGUUGCCGAAGGGAAAAACUUACUAAUAUCGCUACAGGAUUCUGGCGUAUCAGACUGAGCGUAGUCGUGUUAAAACCAGGGUGCAUUUCACGGUUUAAAUAAAUAAAUAAACACGGAAUACUGAAAUGUACAGAAAAUGCAAUUCUAAGCAAAAAAAAAAACAAAAAAACACUUGGUUGGAAGUUGACAAAGGGUUUUGACAAAUAAAAUAUGGUCUGAAGAUAGUGAAGUAUGAUAAUUUCAAAGAGAAUGUUUUAUUCUAUUGCACUGUACAUUGUGGAAUAAGCUACUGUAACUGAACAUGCCCCCAAAAUGUUUGAGAACAAGGAGGUAAUAAAUGGUAGAACAUUUUUAUUGUUAUUUAAUUAAUCUGAAAUAUUAAGUAGUGGGGGUAAUGUGUCAAAUGCAAACGAUGUUGCUUGACAAUUACGAUUCUGAUUACUGAAAUGUUUAUACAUACAGUUCUAUUUUCAGGAACUUUUGUAAAGGGCUUUUGAGCCCAACUUUUGUAGCAGUGUUACCAUAGAUGGCUUUCCUUCAAUCCUACAAGAAUAAUAGUAAAGAGCAUGUUACGGCUAUUUACAUAAGCUAUGUUUUUGUAUCAUUGCAGAAUUGUGGUUUUUAUUGCAGUUAUGAAAUUGUGUGUUUUUAUAUAUGUGCUAUCAGAUGCUAUUAGACUACCUAUCUUGUGAGAUCUGUGACAAUUUUAGAAAAUAAAAAUUUCUACAUCUUU
This is a long non-coding RNA of Conger conger (European conger), 1728 nucleotides long. RefSeq lists it as uncharacterized. The record is from RefSeq and is a predicted model, not a curated record. The transcript has 2 exons. Lineage: Eukaryota; Metazoa; Chordata; Actinopteri; Anguilliformes; Congridae.